ACAGCCGUUGCACACGAGUCAGUCGAUCCUAAGCCCUAUGUGAAAGCUGAUGCCGAUGGGUGGUCGAAAGUUGUUGGCCGAUACCCCCGGUGGGCGAAAGGGAAUCCGGUU
Molecule: ribosomal RNA, 111 nt
Filed under: Eurycantha coronata
Lineage: Eukaryota; Metazoa; Arthropoda; Insecta; Phasmatodea; Phasmatidae
Description: partial 28S ribosomal RNA
Source: RNAcentral